UACGAAGGGGGCUAGCGUUGCUCGGAAUCACUGGGCGUAAAGCGCACGUAGGCGGCUUUCUAAGUCAGGGGUGAAAUCCUGGAGCUCAACUCCAGAACUGCCUUUGAUACUGGAGAGCUUGAGUCCGGGAGAGGUGAGUGGAACUCCGAGUGUAGAGGUGAAAUUCGUAGAUAUUCGGAAGAACACCAGUGGCGAAGGCGGCUCACUGGCCCGGUACUGACGCUGAGGUGCGAAAGCGUGGGAAGCAAACAGG
This 253-nucleotide ribosomal RNA is filed under the name uncultured bacterium. Its description in RNAcentral is "partial 16S ribosomal RNA". It matches the Rfam family "Bacterial small subunit ribosomal RNA", at positions 524 to 776 of the family's 1533-position model. The record is from RNAcentral.